AACAUAACAUCCUUAUUAAACCACUAGCUAGAAUAAGAACUCAGCGUACGUACUCGCUAGACAUGCAAGAUUCUACUUACACACAAGUACCCACUAGAGAGACUGAAAACCUUUUUCCCAUAACCUCAUUACUCAGUCUUUUCUACUGGGGUUUCUGUUUCAACCUCCUCCACUGCUUCAACAGGUUUCUCUUCUCCCUUGACUUCUUCUUCUUCCUUUGGAGCUUCGACUGCAACUUCUGGUUCUGGUGCCUGUGUCUCACCAGACUCGGUAGCCUCUUUAGCUUCUUCAACAACCUGCUCUGCAGGUACUUCCUCUGGAGACUCCUCUUUUGUCUCCUCAACAACCGGCUCUGGUGUUUCCUUAGGUGUCUCCUCCUCUGUUUUCUCUACCACUGUUGGCUCUUCUGCAAGAAUCUUGGUCUCUUCUACCACCUCUUUAGUCUCAACUUCAGCUGGGGCCUCGGGGACUGGUGCCACGGCCUCUUCAGAUGCUGCAGGUGUCUCUACUUCUUCUUUUGGCUCUUCAGCUACUGCCUCUGGUGCUGCAGCGACUGCUUCUUCUGUGGCGGUCUCAAUCUUGAUUGGUUGUUCAGUUUUUUCCUCUGCAAGUGCACUCUGCGCUGACACAACCUGCAGGAUAACCAGAUGAUCAAAGAAUGUUCACCAAAAUGCCGAUGCUAUCUAUUUUUCAAGAACUGUUACUUGAAGUGUCACAGUGAUAAGGAAAAAUGUUCACCAAAAUGCUGACGGGGUUUUACCUUUUGUUAUAUAUAUAUAUAUAUAUAUAUAUAUAUAUAUAGAGAGAGAGAGAGAGAGAGAGAGAGAGAUGAGGAUUAUGAGUUUUCAAAUAUGAUUAUCCAAGAAGUAAAGAUCAUAAAAUUGAUCAAGAUUUUUCAAAUUUUAACACUUGAUAUGUAUCAAAUGACUAAGAAGAAGCAUCUGUUAAAUAAGUUUCUCAACAGGGACAUUAAUUGAUUAAUAGUGAAUGAGUUACCUCGACAGUGGCCAUUGGAACUGAAAGGAAAAUAAAGCAAAUGGGAUACAAAGAAAACUGUAAGAAGCAAAAUAGAAAGGAGUGAUUAUCACACAAGAAGACGAGGAAAGAUUGCUUUGAGUGUUUGAUGCAAAGUGAUCAAUGAGAGUGGGUUUAUAUAGAGAUGUAAGGGUUAGUAUAAUAUGUUUUGUAGGCCAUCAAUCCAUGAUAUUAUUAUAUUCAUGUAAAUAUAUAUUUAUUAUUAAUAAAGACUUAAUUUUUUUAAUAUUUAUAUAAUAUUAUAUUAAUGAAUCUAAUAUUUAAUUUAUGAAUUUAGAGUAAAAAUAAAGUUCAUGAGAUAAAAAUAUUUUCCAAAAAAAAUUAUAAAGUUGUUAUAAUUCUAGGAUUUAUAUUGCAUCAAAGCAUUGUUCUUAAAAUGUUCUUGGUCGAUACUUUUUUAAAUACUGAAUAAUAUUAGAGUUGUAGAAACUCAUACGUAUUAUGUUCUUUCCUUUAUGAAAUGAAGAAGUUGAUCUCAAAAGUUUAGGUAUAAGGAAUACCUAGAACUAAUAUGUAGGUGUUUGUCAUAAGAUAUGUACAUUGAACUGACCCGCAUGAGAAUUCCAAAUGAAGAGAUCAUAUAUGUCUAUUGAAAGGCUCACGUAACGGUUAUGUAAGUGAUCCUUAGACUUGAGAUCACUAGGUUAUCUUAUAUAGAGAAUAUUAUGCUUUAAUCAUGUUGUAUGUUAUCUUAAUUGAGGUAACGAAGGAGCGAACAUUGGGUAUAUCAUGAACUAUAUAAAGGUAUUUGAGUGAUCAAAAGAGGAUGCAUCACUCUAUGUGAAUUAAGAAAAAUAUUUCAUCUGUUCCCAAAUAGUAUUGACUGAGAAAUCUUUGGUCAGAAUGGAAUGAGAUUUGAAAAGAGUUUCAAAUCUUAUUCAAACGAUCAAUAACUAUUAUAUGGAGAACAAACAUUAUUUAAGAAGGCAAACAUACUCCAUGCUUUAAUGUUAAAUCGAGAUAUUAUUGAUGAAAUGAUAUUGAUUACACUAAGAAACCAGUCACUAAAAGUUUAAGUCAAACCACUAAUAUCUUUUUCAAUAUUUGAGGGAUCAUGAUAUGUUGCUAGACGAUGCACCUAAUCUUCAAAUACAAUUUAAUCAAUUGUUCAAUUGAUAAUAAAUUAAAUUGUUUAAUUUCUUUAAUUCUAUUUAAUUAUAAUUAUAAUUUAUAUUUGGGCCAACAAAUAUAAGGACUAGAAUGUAAUUUACACAUGGAUUACAUUUAUAGACCUAGAAAAAUCAAAUAAGAACUUGAUUGAGUUAAUUUAUAAAAUUAUCAUGAAUUAAUAUAUGUAUAUUAUUCAAGGGGCAAAUUGGUAUUUUUUUAAUUUAUAGGGUUUUUCAGAUUUUCCUAUAAAUAUUAAUUUACGUCUCUUAUUUUUUAUUGGUUGUUUGUUAGACAGAAAAAUUACAUAAGUCACAUAAUAGAAAACUAGCACUAUAGGCAUAACAAUCUCUCUCUUUUAACUAGGGAUUUAAGAGAUUUUUUAUUGGUGGUUCGUAUAGAUUAUUAUUGGAGCCCGAAUAAUUGGAUGACUUGUAGUUUGCAACAACUCAAUCUUUAAAGAAUUAUUUAAAGUAAAAAAAUCAAACUUUCAAGUAAUAUAUCCCUGUAUAAUUUUAUUUUAUAAUUUUCAAUACGUAUAUAAUACUCGGAACCAAAAGUAACCGACCUCACGCUCAAUCAAUUGAGUGAGGGAGCUACUUUGAGGAAUCGUGGGAUAUGACACCUCAGCCUCACUGAAUUCAACGGGGAUUAGCAUGUUUGGUAAUGAUGUUUAGGAAAUUUUCUGGAGAUGGGGUUUAAGUAUUUUUAAUGGCUAGUUGUUUGUAUGCUUUUGAUCGGGAAAAAGGGUAAAAUAAUGGAGGUCAGGUCAUCUUCAUGAAAGCCAUCAUCUUCUUUUGGUUUUGUGUGCUUGUGUGCUUAGCGCAGUCGGCCCCGUACGUGACCUGUUUUCCAUCCUCCACCUGCCAUUCGUCCUUAAGACUAUUUUAUUUUUAUUUCUUGGCAUCGACCUUGCCAAGCUGUUUACCCUAUGGUAAAUAUUGUCGCACCGCCCUCUCAACUUCAUGAUUGUAUGAAUUUUGUCUUCCUAACAUGGAGUUAAUUAGUCCCAUUAAACCUUCAUAAUUAUAAUAUAUGAUGAUGCAUCUCACAAUAAUUUCUUGACAUUUUUGUUUCCUGUGGAGGCUGGUAAUUCACCCGUGAACGUACAAUGUAUUUGGGAAGCACCAUUGAUUUAUAUGUAGACUUGAGAAAAUAGAUGUUUAAUUUAUAAGAUUAUAUAAAGAUAUUUAGUUUAUAUUUUAUAGUAUUAUCCAUAAUAAUAUAAACCAAGGUGAAAUGUAUCAUAUGCUCUUUGUGUUAAUGUCUCACAUCAACCCGAGUUCGUCCUAUUUAAUUAUGCUAAAUCAAUUUUAUAAAAUCACCAUUUUGAUCAUUUUUUUUUAAUCUUUAUCCUCCAGGAUUUUUUUUUCUUCAAAAAAUAAAAUCAUUUUAAACAAGUUUUAUCCAAUCAAUCAUUUAUAUUCUGAUUUUUUUUUGGAUUUUUAUCAUGUAGAAUGACUUUUAUUUUUUAUUUUUUUUAUAUGUAUUAUAUCUUGCGCUAACUAGUUUACGCACAUUAAAUUAGAUCUCUACACUCCAAACAAGGCUUAUAAAAUAAGACUUACACCAGUAAUAGCAAGCAUAGGGAGUUAAAAUGAAGCCUAUAUAAAAAGCAUGUAUUUUAGCCCAUAUCAAUUUUACCAAUUCAAUCAUUUAAAACCAACAUGGAUGGAAUUCUAAGAGUAUAAUUUCCUCAAAACACUUAAUUAUAUUGAAUGUGUUUGAAAUUAUUUUUAAAAAUGAAUUUGAAUUUUUUAAAAAAAUCCCUUAUAUAUUAAUAAAAAAAAUACUUGAAAUUCAAGGAUAUUUUUAUAAAAUCACACUAGCAGACUCUCAAAAUCAAAAAACCACCACCAUCACCGCCUCAAGUGAUGAAUUGACGUCAAAAGAAAUAUUUUUUUUAUUUUAACCUAUAAAAUUCUCAAUAAGCUAUAGACGUCAUUGUCUUUAUAUUAUGUCUAUAUUAUUAUUGUUGUUGUUUUGUUUUUUUUAGCCUUUUCUAGAAAAAGAAGUUCGGCCUAUGGGCCUGUGUCUUGUGGGAGUUGAAGGGUCGCCCAAAACCAAUGGUUAUAAUUUACGUAAAAGAAACGAAUAAAACUCUGACGUGGCACUUUAAAGUUGAUCUACUCUCUCUAGCGUUUCUAAAGCUUGUGGAUCCCACGAGAUGGAAAGCUGAGACAGAUUUUGACAUUAGUGAAGGAAGACUCGAUUAGCUGAGUUGGAGGAGCUCCUAGCUCUUGAUUACGUGUCAACAGUCUUUCUUUUCCUCUCUUUUUUUUUUUUUUUCCAAACUUGCUUGAAAACUUUUAUAAGCAAUACAAUAUUCAAAAUUAAAAUAUAGACAGACUUAGAAAUGAAGUAAAUUAUAUUAAAAUAAUAUUUUUUAUAAAAAAAUUUCAAAACUCAAUAAAAAACUAGUUAAAUCACCGUUCUAAACUUAUCUUAAAAGUGAAAGUUCAAAUUAUACCUGGAAUAAAGAUUCUGUUUGGAAGGUGGUUGCGGUUAUUUUUUAAAUAACUUUUCGUAUUAAAAUGUAUUAAAAUAAUAUUUUUUUAUUUUAAAAAAAUUAUUUUUUAAAUCAGCAUAUCAAAACGAUGAAAAAAAUAUAAAAAAAAUUAAUUUUUUUAAUAAUUUCGAAACUCAUUGUUAUUUAUUUAUUUAUUUAUUUAUCAAAAUUAAUGUUAACACCGUAAAAUCAUGAUGAUGAUGCUGCUGCUGCGAUGAAUAUAGAACAGUUAUCUCGUAGAUCCCCGAGUCAAUAAUAGUCCUAAUUGAAAACUUCGUACGGUGGCGGGCACCAAGUUAGAUGCAUUUGCAGCAGGGGAUGGCUGGUAUCCACCGUGUCGUUUCAUCCCCCGAAAAGGAUUGCCAGAACGGCAAAGAGUUCAACAAUUCUGUAAAGGUCUGCCUUUUAGGUCUAGGUUCAGGUUUUGGGCGGUGGGCUGGCCUACCAGACGUGGAGCCCACAUGGGUUCCGUGGUCCAGCCUGCCAAUCAGGCCGUGCCACGUGAAAUGCACGUCACCCACCACGUGGGAUGAUGCUGUUGCCAUGUCAUUAUUGGAUGGGACAGGGUCAUUUGGAUGCAAAAAGAGGUGGGCCCACUGGACGAAAUUAGGGAGCUGUUGGUAGACGAUGGACGGAGGAAGCUAGGCUUUUCGGAGGCAACAUCCAGAUUGUGGUAAUCUUUUGUAACUUUAGUUAAGAGAAAGUUUUGUGUUUUUUUUUUUUUUUUAAUAUAUUAAAAUAAUAUUUAAGCAAAGCUCAAUGUUCAUUACCAAUCGGUUAGGUCGAGUGGCAAUGACCUUUGUUGGCUCAUCUAGAAGGUAACUGAGUUCAACUCAGUCCAAUUUUACCUCAUGUAUUUCGCUUGUUGUUUUGGAGGUGAAAAUAGCAUACGCUGUUCACUGAGGUUUGCGUCUUCUAGUCUUUUGAUUGGCUUCCGUUAACAUUAUAGUUUUGAAACUCGGUCUAGCCUGGUAGGUCGAUUCGGGACCUGGCCGAUCCAGAGCUGAAAUCGGGCCGGGUUGAAGAAAAAACGGGGAAAGAAAAAACCCAGUGUGACUUGGCGGGUUAACCCGGCAAGACGCGGUUGCAAACCCGUUGACUUUUGUUUUUUUUUUUGUUUUUUUACUAAAACGACGUCAUUUUGAUUUUUUAAAAAAGAAAUGACCCGGCCGACCCGGUGACCCGGUCAAAACCCGGAACCUGGACCUUGGACCGGGCCGAGUCUUAAAACUAUGGUUAACAUAUUAUAAAUCAAAAAGCUAUGCUUUUGUAUAUAUAUAUAUAUAUAUAAUUAAUGUUUAGGUGUCAUAACGUAUUUUUUGACAUCGUGUAAAAAAUAUAAUUGUUAAUAAAAAAAUCAAUACUUAUAUAUAAUAAAAUAUAAUGAAGAUCAUAUACGUUAAUAAAAACAUGUGAGAUCUCAAGCUAAUUUUUAACGUGAUAGAAAAAUAAGACAAUGUUGAAUUGCAACAUUAAAACACCAUUUUCUUAAUCUUUGUAUAAUAAGUUUUCUAAGGAAAAGUGCAAAGAAAAAAAACUAAAAAACAAUUAUAAAAGAAUGAAGAUAAAAAUAAAAAAAAUGGUAUAAAUAAAUCAAUUGUAGAGUGAUAAAUAUUCCAAGUAUAAAGAAUAAAAAAUAAUAUUUUUUAUCCAAAAAACAUAUACAAAAAAAAUUACAAGAAAAUAAAGAUAAAAAGAUUGUGAUAGAAAUGCCAAGUAUAAAGAAGAAAGAACAUAAGAAAAACUUAUUUCUAGAAAAAUAAAAAAUUACAGAUUUGUCACCGACAUAGUAAAACAAUUGAUAAAAUUUAUAAUUAUGUCAUUUUUACAAUAAAAUAUUAUUUCCUUUUAGUAUAUGUAUAAUUAAGUUAUCAUUAAAUAUUCUUCGAAGAUAAUUAAAAAAACAGUAUAUAUCAUUAUACAACUAGAAGUAUUGAUGACCAUAUUAAAGUCAUUUCUAGCCAAUCAAACAAUAAAGAAAAAAAAAAUCAGUUUAAGUCCUGAUUAGGUGAUUCCUAAUUAUAGAGGAUGAAAUCAUAAAGAUGCUACGAGGAGUUAUGAUUUCUAAAAGAUUAUUACUAAAGAUCAAUCUACUUGUUUUUAGUGGGAUAAUCUAAAGAGUUAGAUAAGAAAAUGUAAAAAGUUUUUUAAUAUGCAUUUUACUCUAAUGCAUUAAUGGGUGGAGAUAGAUUUUUUAUACCUAGAAGGAAGGAUAAAAAUAUGAUAUGAAGGGUUUUUAAUAGGUGGAGAUGAUUUGAAAAAUUAAAAAGAAAUUAACAGAGUUAUUUGUAUCAGAUUUAAUAGGAUAAUGUAUAAUAAUUCAAUAUAUUAGUACAAGAUUCAGGAGUCGAGGAGUAUGUUGAAUUAUUUAAAGAACUUAAAUCUUUGAUGAAUGUUUUAAAUUCAUCACUAUCAAAAUCCUACUAUAUUUCUAAUUUUAUAAAUGGACUCAAAGAUGCCUAUGCUUAAGAUUCUUAAACCCAUAACUUGAUAUAGACUUUUGAUCAAGCUAAAUAGAAAGAAAAAUCCAACAAUGCUUUGGCCAAUAAUAAUAAAUUCAUACCAAGAACCAACUAUUCAUAUGGUUUGGGAAAAAUAACAAGUGAUUCCUACUCUAAACCUCUUAAUCAUUAAAAAAAAAACAAAGGUGUUAUAUAGCUCAAAACAAUAGCCUAAAACCUUACAUGAGCAAAGAAAAAGGUUGAGACAGUGUUUUAAAUAUAAGGAUAAGUAUAUACUGAGACAUCGAUGUAACAUGAGAGAUUGCAUAUGAUAAAAAGAUGAGAAAAAAAAAAUGAGGAAUUUGUAAAUGUAGCUGGAGGAUACAAUAAUAGAAUAAUAGUCGAGGAUGAUAAAAUCAAAGAAUAUGGAUUGUCCUUGAAUGCAUUGGUAGAUAGCUAUACAAAUAACACAAUCAUGAUCAAAUAUUCUUGUCAAGGAAGGAACAUUACCAUUCUAAUUGAUAAUAGUAGUACACAUGGUUUUAUUGAUACAUAAGUGAUUGAAGAAAUCAAGAAAAUCAUCUAAAGGACCACUAUAUUGGCAAUGAUAGUAGCUAAUUAAGGUAUUAUGAGAUGUGAUGCUUAUAGUUGUGAGUUCAAAUGGUCCAUGCAAAGUUAUGAAUUUCAAGCUGAUUCGAGGAUAUUGAAACUUGAUAAAUAUGGUAUGGUGCUUAGAGUAUAUUGAUUAAAGAUUUAUUCACAAAUUAUAUUUUAUUUUAUUAAAAGAAUCAUUAAAAAAAAUGGCAAAAUAAUUGGGCUAAAAAGAACUGUGGAAUAAGCAAGGUUGCAAGUAAUCACAACAACUAAUGCACAUAAGAGUUUAAAAGAAGACUUGUAGAUUUUGUUAGAUAUUGUUUUUUCCAUUUAAGCUUUUGAAGCACAAAAAAAGGAGUGUAGAAUAUAAUAAUAAAGUUAUUAUUAAAAGAAUACCAAUUUAUGUUUACAGAAUCAAAACAUCUUCCAACUGCCAUGAGCUUGGAUCAUAAAAUACUCAUGAUACUAGAAGCUAAAUCAGUCAAUAUUAGACCAUACAAAAUAUAUUUUAUGUAAAAAAAAAAGAUAGAGAAAUUGGUAAAGAAGAUGUUGCAUAAUGAAAUUAUUUAACACAACUACAACCUAUUUUCUUUUUUAAUAUUAUUGGUUAAGAAGAAAUGCUAUACUAGGAGAAGAGAACCUUUAAGACUCAUUAUAGGCACUAUGAGUUGAAGGUAAUUUUAUUUGGUUUCACUAAUAUAAUAACCAUGUUCAAGAUUUAUUAUUUGUAUUUUGGAUUUUGAUUUUAAUUUCUUUUAUCUUUCGUACUUUAGGUUGUUGUUUUAGUAAAUAUAGGGUUUUCUAAUCUAUUUAAAGAUUUUAUAAAUUUCUUGAAGAGACAACCAUUCUAUACUUAUUUUUAGAUAAUAAAAUUAUAAAUAUAAGGUUCACAAUUGCAUUCUUUUUAACUCAUUAAACUUGUAUGUUUUCUGUGUUAUUUUUGUCCUAAGAUGAACCUCUUAUAUAAACUGAUUUAAUAAAACCUCUUGGAAAAAAAUUGAGAGAAAUUGACAAGAACAUUGUACAUUUGUACCUUCAGGCUUCAAAGUUACACACAUAUACAAGAAUCUGUACUAUUCAACGUUCACUGGAAUUUUUGGAUUGAAGAGUUCAGUGGGUUCCUCUCACAAGCCCAUAACCUGACAGAUUGAAGUAUUGAAACAUUGGGUUCAUCACAUUACAUUUUUUUUUAAAAAAAGAAGAAGAUUGAAACAAUAUAAAUGGCCCAUGCAGGUUUCGAACCUGCGACCUUCGCGUUAUUAGCACGACGCUCUAACCAACUGAGCUAAUAGGCCAAUCCGAUGGGUAUCUUCUAAUUAACUGUACUGAAAAUAAGUGAAUAGGUUGGAUCUAAUCCAAUUCUGCAAGCAUAUCAUUUUAAAAAUCCAUCAACUCUGUGUCCCCAUUCUGUUUCUUCUUCUUCAUCUUUAGUUCAUACCUAAUUCAGAUAACAUGGCUAGAAAUUUGAUAUUCAGUAAGCAUCCCUCUUUUUAAAGAAAGUUAAAUGCCCUAACAGCAUCAGUGGUGAGUGCAGGCCAGUUCUUUGAAUGUUCUGCUUCGUCUACCUUGCUAAGAUGUCACAAUUAUAUAUCCAGCAGCUCCUAUACUGGAACAAGUGAUAGAUACGGCCAUGCUAGGCUAUCCUUCUAGCUUUUUGCCAAACCCUUGAAAUUAUUUGUUGUGGUUGGCAUAAUGGGUGGUCCAUAUAACGAUUGAUGAGUAUGUUGGCUCCAUUCGUUAACAUUAUGCCAUUAGAAAAGGGAACCCACUGGAAUCUUAAAUACUCCAAUAAAGAUCACAACUGUUGACGGGAUGUAUAUAAUGAUUCAAAUCCAAUAACAAUAAAGGGGUGAAGAAGAUUCAGGCAUCAUGUUUUUGACAAUGUUUAUAAAUUUGAAGCCUUUAAUCUUUGCCAGUUUUAAAGCCAGCGGUGUUUCUGUUGACGGUCAGUGCCUUGGAAAUUAAUUGUUCGUAGAUGGGUUUUAAUAUCAAACAAAGAACUCAAGAUCAGGCAUUCAACACAACGAAUAGACUGGUAUCUGCUAAGAAGGUGGAUAGAACACAAGUUUUUUCUGCUUUCUAUCCAUUAAUAACUGGAUCAGUGUCACCUAUUAAGGGUUUUUUUCGCCUUGGAUUCGAGGUAAAGUAGUGAUGAUAACUGGAAAAGCAGCGUUAAUUAAAGAUAUAGAACUGGUUAGGUGAAAAGCACAUGAAGAAAUCAAGAUUUUCGACAUUUACAGGCAAGCAAUUGUUUUCCACAUCACAAUUACAAUGCCAUAAAUUUCUCAACAUCAUUUUUACAAGCAUUUGGGGUCAUAAAGUUCCAAAUAUCAUAAAACAAAAUAAUUGCUUCCAUAUACAGCUAUGAGAACCAAGAAAAUGACAAGAGUACUCUAGUUGAAUAGAAAUAAAACUCUCAAGUUCACAUACAUAAAUCAAAUGACAUGUAUAAUCAAAAAAAUGGUUUUAAAUCAAAACAAAUGACAUAAUCCAGAUAUACCCUCUUCUCAUAAAUUAAUACACAACAAUGAAAUCCUGCCUUACAAAAACAGGACCAGCACACCUGCAAUAGCUAGAACCAAUUGACUCCAAAUACCUACACCAUUGAUCCUAUAAGAAGAAUUUGGGGGGGACUUUCCUGGGGCGCUCCCUGCUCCUGCUGAGUCGUCAGAUGUUGGGGAAUCUGCAGUAGGGCUAGUGUCAGGAGCUGGUGCUGGAGCUGGGGUUGGAGGUAUAUUAGUACCAAAGAUUGCCUCAGGAAGGAGGACUUUGUCAACUUGAUAGAUUGCAACAGGAUCAGUUGAAUGCACACUACUACUAACUUUAGUUUUAGACCAUCCUGAAUCAAGGUGCACGGUCCCAGAUGUAUCGGUGAAAUUCAAAGCAUAUCCUCCUGCACCAGCAAAUGUGCUGACAGGGCUCACUUGGCUAAGGUUCUUGAAAUCAGACAACGAGUAAUAAUGUGGCAAGGCAUGAAAAAGAAUGAGUUGCUUGAGCUGGUCUUGAGUUAGGUUUGACAAAGAAGCCUUCUUGAGAUUUUUGAAGGCAUCAUCUUUUGGUACGAAGAUGGUAAUGCCUUCAUCAGUGUUGUUGGCUUGGUUUUGAAAGGUGUCAAUGACUUUAGUGGACUCAAGGUAGUUAAGGAAGUUGUGGAAUGGGCCAGCAACAGAGAGUAAAUCAGUGAGGUUAACGUAAGGAGGUGAUGGUGCUGGUGCUGGGGAUGGAGUUGGGGUUGGUGCUGGAGGACUAGCUACUUUUUGAGCAUAUGCUAGUGGAGUGCACGAAAACAGCAGUGUGCUGCUAAGCACAAUAAUCAUAGAAAACUUCAUGGUUUAUCUUCUCUAAAUCCCUGCAAGAACCAAAUCCCAUCAUUGAUUAUAUCUCAAUUUAUGAGCACAAAUCUAUCGAUGGCAAACCAAUGCGAAUCCACAGCAUGAACAGAAAAACUAGCUAAUAAUUGGAGAAAUCAAACCCAGCAUUUCAGAAUCCAGGUGAGAUUCCCAAAUCCACAAAAUCCGACUAACCAAAUCUUUGUAAUGACCAUGGAAAGCCAUGGCUAUCACUACUUCAACAACAACAACAACAAAAAAAAAACAAGAUCCUUUUCAACUCAUCUAUAGAUAGUUUUAAAACAAUUACUAUAGCAAAACCAACCCUCUCUUCUAGGCACAAAUAAGAUAUUAAAUUAAUUGAGAAAGGUUGGAAGAGGAUCUAAUCUAAUGACAGAGAAAUGAAGCAAUGACUGAUGACAUAAAAAAUGCAAAUGCCAAUGCCGUAGAAAAGAAACAUCAUGCACAAAUCACAAGGAUGAAAUACCAUACCCAACUUGCUAAAUCCCCAGAAGAUCAAGUAUUCUUGCAAAAACCAAGAUCAAAACCCCAUUAAAAGUACAAUACAUCUUGUCCUUUUUAAGGUAAAAGAGAGAGAGAAACAGUGCAAUCUAUGUUGCUUUCCUUUCUCUUUCGUGACUGGAAGCUAGUAAAAGCAAGUCAAAACAAAUUCUGUUGGACAAAAAAGAAAACCACAGCCACCACACAAUGUAGUUCAACAUAAAGCAAAGAAACAGAUCUAGAUCAGCUCAUCCCAAUAGAAACAGACCCUUUAGCAUAUUUAACCCCCCCCAAAAAAAAAGGUUAAGAAGUACUGACCUGAGCAAGAAUUCAGAGAGAAAUUGUUUUGGUUUUGGCCAGGGAAUGCCAAAGUGCCAACGCUAAUGCUGCAACGCAAAAUGUAAUGUGUUGCACUAUAUAAAGAUGGAUUUUAACUAGAAAAGAGAUUAAAAAAAAAAAGGGGGUGGGGGCGGUAGCAGCUGGUGAUGGUUCAAGAGAUGAAUGUAAAGGUACAAAUCAGAAUACAUUUAAGUAAUUGUAGAAUGUACAUGGGCGUGAGGAGAGGAGGUGAGGCUGUCUAUUAUUCUUUAUUAGAUGUUGUUUUCACUUUCCAGACUUGGAUGGUUCUUUCUUACCGGGCAAAACAAAGCAUGCUUUCUUGGAAAUCUUUUCAAGGUAAGAAGAAAUAAAAAUGGGUGGCAUUUCUUAAUCAUGUAUCUGCUCAUUAUAUAUAUAUAUAUAUAUAUAUAUAUAUAUAAUUCUUGAGACACCCACCUUGCACUCUACCCUAACAUUAUCAUAAUCUCUCUCAAUUUAUCAUCUCAUGAUAAAUCAGCCUCCUAAAGGAUUUUGAUUUCAUAGAUGGGUUUGGUAAUGCACUGAUACUAAUUUUUCUUUAUUUCGGGAUGUAGUCAGAAAUAGUUUAUUGGCCGUCGUGAUUUUUUCUAAGCAUAAAAAAAAUUAAUAAAACAUGAGAUUAGAAAAAAUAUAUAUAUGAAUUUUUUAGCCAACACACAUUGUAAACCCUCGUGUAAACAUAAGAUCAAAAGUAAUAAAACUAGAAAAAAUAAAUAAAUAAAAAUAAAUAAAUAAAUAGUACAUGUGAUGUGUAAAGGGAAGGUAUGACAUCUAUAAAUAAAUUUAAAGGUAUUGAUGAAAUUAAAAUGAGGACUAGAAAAUUUAGUUUCAAAUUCAUAACGAUAGUAUAAACAGUAAUAGGUUUCAAUAGAUAGAAGAAUUAGAAAAAAUUAAAAUAAAUGUGUUUUGAAAGUGAUAAAAUAAUUCCAAAGAGUUAUAAUGAAAAUGAGGAAUUAAAUUUAAGAAAUAAUUACAUGAAAAAGUGUUGGUGUAAACCCCGGUUAAAAAUCAGUAAACUUACCGUGAAACAAUAAAAAAUCUGUAAACAAAAUAAAUUGUGAGAAGAAAAAAUAAAUAUAUUUUGAAAUAAUGAAAUGGUCCCAAGGAUUUAGUAAAAUGGUUAAUAUGACCUAUGUAAGGGUGGAAUAAGAGAAUUCAGAUUUUUGAUAAAAAAAUCAUAAACUAACUAGUUUUACGCUAUCAAGCAUAACUCUUCAUUUGACAGUCAGAUUAGACUGAAAUUUUACUUAAAGUCUCCUAACAUGUUUUUCUAUCCUGGGUUAAAUUUCAUGCCAAUCAAAGUUUGGUAAGGCCAUACAAAAUUAUCAGUGGCUGAGAGAAAAUCCAGAAAAAUAGCAUGUUAAUAAUAAAUAAGGGCAAAAAUGCAAUUGGCCAGACAAUUCCAGCUUCUUCUUCUUUUUAAAUGGUUAGUCAUUUUUGGAGGGGAGAGAGAGAGAUCUUUUUCUUCAUUUUUGUUCAAAUCAUCCUUGAAAAAUCACCAUAAAUGAGAGUUUUAGGGAGAAAAUGGAAGAAAAGAGGGAAAAGAAUGGAUCAUUGACAGAAAUUUAUGAGAAAAAGAGAGAAAUUUUUUGAUAGAGAGAGAAAGUAGAAGAUUAAAGAAGAAAAAAGGUAAUAGAAGCUUUGGACCAUGGAAAUUGUCAUUAAAUUGAAUUUGAAAGGGUAAAAAAGCUUUCCCUUACAUUUAUAUUCAAGUUUUAGUUGAUUUUGAUUAUGUGUUAAAUAAGUUUGAAAAAAGGGUUGGGGUUUGUUGAAUUAUGGAUGAAGAAAUGAUAUUUGUAUGAGAAAUAAGUUGUUAGAUUAUGCAAUAUAGUUGUUUAAGUGGAAAUCUUAAGAAAAAAAUUGAAAUAAACCAAUAGGUGUUUUGACCAUAAUUGGUUGGCCAUGGUAGAAGAAUUUAGAGAGGGAUUGUUGAUGUAAUUUUAGUGAAUUGGUGUGUGUUAAUGUGAUUGUAUAAGUUUAUGAGAUUAUAAUUAGGUAGAAAUCUUAAUGAUAAUUGUAAAUUUAAUGUUGUGUGAAUGUUUAGAAUGUGUAAAAUGAAAUUAUUGAAAAUUUAGUAUGGUGAAUUGUUACUUAAAUGAUGGUAUAAUACAUUUGGUGUUAAAAAGAUUAACAUGAUGAAGUAAUAAUUUGAGAGGAUGGGAAGAGUUAUACGUUUUGGGUUAAAUUGUUAAUAAAAGUUUUCUUUAUGAAACUUGAGAAAUAUUGGUUCCUUGAUUAAAUCAAAAUGUUGUGAUGUUGUGUAAUGGUAGGAUUUUGAAUAAGAUAAGUUUGAGAUUAUUAUAUAAAUUAAAGGGUUCAAGCAAUUAAAGGUAUGUUGCAAUAUGAUGAGAUAUAUUAGAAUGAGAUUGAAUAAAUGUUAAGGAAUUGUGAGUGGAUGAGGUAUCAUUAAAAUAAUAUGUAUGAAUAUUAAGAAUAUUCAUGAGUGUAAGUUAAAAUAAACUUAUUGAGAAGGUUGAACUAUUGUAAAUACGUUAUGAAUGAUUGAGAAAUUGUGUAAUAGAAAUUGUAUUGAAGAAAUUGAAAUCACUUGUAAAGGUUCAACCAUUAGUGAUCAACCAUGUGAGAUUUAGUUGGAAGUCGUGUGUUUGAUUUGGACUAUAAAUGCUAUGAUUAUAAAUUGUAUAUUAGGAUUUAGUUAUGAUCAUUUGAGUUAAGAUAUGAGGAAUAAAUUUUUAUCGGUGUGUAGAAGGGAGAAUAAUAACAUUGCAUAUAAGGUGUUUGAUAAAAUGUAUGAAAGAGAUGAAUAAGCUAGUGCUUAAGGUGUGGAUAAAACGACAUCAAGGGUGUUAAAAUUAAAUAAAUGGAUAGUUAUGUAUGUGUUUGGCCAAGCAGAAUGCCGAAAUUGUAUAGUUGAAUUUUAAGUAAAUGGAUGUUAAUAGGUGUGUAAAGUAGAUAUAAAUAAAAGUAGUGUAUCUAAUAAAUCAUUUUUUAGAAUGAUACGAUGAAUUAUUUUGUACCGACUUAGGAGAGACUCUAGAAAACUUACCAUGGAUCGGAAAAACAGGACCUACGUGUGAAUCAGGUAAGUGUCUUACAUCUUGACAAUUUCAUUUGUAUCAUUUAGAUAUUUUUUUAAACUACAGUUUCUUUAAAGAUGUAACUCAUGAAUAUUCAAUGAAAUAUUAAAAAGAAGGAAAAAAAUGUUAAUUUAAUUUAGUUACCUAAGGUAAUUCAGAAGCUAAUGAUAUCAAUGUGAUACAUUGAUACUAGUAUUUACUUAGAUGAAAGCAUAUUGGUUAAGGAUUUGAUUAGUCAUUUCUAUAAUGAAGACUAAUAAUGCCAAUGAAGUUUCAUUGACGUUGGCAUUAACGUGAUGACAUUAAAGUGUUGAAAAUGAACUUGAUUAGCUUUCCUGAUUCAGAAAGCUAAUGAUAUCAAUGAAUUGUAUUGGUAUCAACAUCUCUUAAACUUGAUUAGUCAUUCUCAGUUUGGGAGACUAAUGAUACCAAUAGAUUGUAUUGGUAUCGACAUCUCUUAAAUUUGAUUUGUCGUUCUUGGUUUAGAAUACUAAUGAUACCAAUGGAUUGUAUUGGUAUCAGCGUCUUUUAAAUUUAAUUAGUCAUUUCUGGUUUGGAAGGCUAAUGAUAUCAAUAGAUUAUAUUGGUAUCGACAUCUCUUAAACUUGAUUAGUCGUUCCCGUUUUGAGAGACUAAUGAUACCAAUGAUUGUAUUGGUAUCAAAAACUCUUAAACCUGAUUAGUCGUUCCUGAUUUGAGAGACUGAUGAUAUUAAUGAAUUGUAUUGGUAUCGAUAUCUCUUAAAUUUGAUUAGUUGUUCCUGAUUUGGGGAGCUAAUGAUACCAAUAAAGUUCAUUGGUAUCAGUAUAAACAUGAAAGGAAUAUAUAAAAAAAGGAUUUAAUUAGCUAUUCCUGAAAAAGAAAAUUAGAAGGAUAAUAAUGUCAAUAGGUUUGUUGGCACCGACAUGUACUAGAAAAUUUGAUUAGAUAUCUGAUGGAAUAGAAGCGAAUGAUACUAAAGGAAUUGGUGUCAGCAUACCAUUAAUUAGCCACACUUGAGGUGAUGGCUAAUGAUAUCAAUUUAGGAAUUGAUGUCGACAUCGAUCAAUUGACCAAGUUUAUAGGUGACAGAUGAUAAUAUUAUGUUAGAUGUUGAAAAUUCAUAUAAAAGACAAAGGAAUAAUAAGUAAAUGAGAUAAAAAGAUUUUACUUAUCAGCACGAGAUAAAGGAAAGAGAACUUAGCUAUAUUUAUCUGAUGUAAUAUUUUUAGUGAAAUUAUUUCAUUUGUUUAUCAACACUUUAUAAUGUGUUAUAUAAUUAUUUGUAUUUGAUAUUGGAUGGUUUGAAGUUAUUGAAAUAUAGUUGAUGUAGAGCAUGAUCUAGGAUCACUGGAUUAAGGGAUUGAGACUAUGAGUACAAGUAAAACAGGUUUAAGUCGAUAAUUUAAGAAUGAUCCACUUUAAAGAGAAACUUUGUGGAAAUCUCUGUAGAGAUAAUAAUGACCUUAAAAGAUUUUGUUUAUGGUAUCAUGAAUUGAGGUUGUUAUGUCUGAACUAGAUUUAAAGGUUGGGGUUGUUGUUGCAAUUAUGGCUAAUAGACCUUGGAUAUCAUAAGAUACCAUUUAUAUGAAAUUUAUUGUGUAUAAAGGAUAUUAAGACAAGUGUUAUUAAGAAAGGAGAUAAACUGAUGAAGACUUACAAAUGUAUUUUUGACUAUCAAUUUUAAAAAAGAGAUAAAAGGUGAAAAAGAAUGUGCUAAUUCAUAAUAUGAUUAUUGUUAGUACAUUAUUGAAAAUCUUAAAUUUGAAUGAAUUCUUAGGAUCAUAAUAUCCUCGAUCAUUAACAUGUUUGUGGAGCGUUUAAAUAAAGAAAGAGAAGAGAUAUGCAAAUGUGUGUGAGAAGAUCACGAGUGUACAUAGAGAUAAUAUGGUAGUGAGUUGAAUAAGUAUUCCUUGUUAAGUGAAAGGAAAUGUUAGAGGUAUUGGUUAUGAAUACAAGUGGUUUAUAAUUCAUAUUAUUUAUGUGUUACAAGCAUGGUUGUGAAAGGUUGAAAUAACAAUGUGUAAUUCAGAGUAAUUGGACUAUGAAAAAAAAUUAAUGCUAUAGUUAGAAAAAGAAAAAGAAAUAAAGAUGUCAUUAUCCAAAGUAUUUGUUUUACAAAAAAGACAAAAAGGAUAUUGCGUAUUGUUUUAGAUAAAUGUAUGUUUCAUGAAUAAAAUGCAUAAUUUUUUAUAUUAAAAUGAUUAAUUUUAUAUAUGUAUAUUUCAGGUCCAUCACAUUUGUCAUUACAGUAAAAGUAUGGUAGUUAGGUUUUUAUAGCCAUCUUAAGUAGAGUUUUGUUGUUUUUAUGUUAUGUAAUUAAUUGAAAUGUAUGUGUAUUUUUUUGGAGUUUUUAUCUAGUGAAAUAUUAAAUUACUAGUUAAGUUGGAUUUUCUUUAUACAUGUAUGUUAUAAUGAUAUAAGGACCUCAUAGAAACAUAUAUAUAUAUAUAUAUAUAUAUAUAUAUAUAUAUAUAUAUAUAUAUAUAUAUGACAAUUAAUGAUGGAUUAAGAGUAUGCCUGGGGCUAUUUAGGUACCGGUUGUUAAAUGUGAUAUUUAUGAGGGAUUAUAUAGGAAUUUGACAGGCUAAAGUUAUGGAUAAGAGUUCUGUGUGUGUGUGUAAAGGACAUUAUAGUGAUGUAGACAAUGAAUGAUGGAUUAAGGGUAUGUCUGGGGCUACCUAGGUACUAGUUGUUGAAUGUGAUAUUUAUGUGAGAUUAUACAGUAAUUUGACAUGAUGAGGUUAUGGAUAAGAGUUUUGUAUAAAUAAAACACUGCUAAAAUUUUAUAAAAAUGAACUAAGUAGAGACAUAUAAAUACUAUGUUAAUGUAAUGUAGGAGAUAUGAGUAUUUUGAUUUUUUUAAAAAAAUUACUCAAAUUCUUACGUGAUUAUUUAAAAUGAGAAUAAAUGCAGCCAAAAGUUCAGCAUGUUAUAUAUAUAUAUAUAUAUAUAUAUAUAUAUAUAUAUAUAUCAUUAAUGAAUUGGAAUAAAUAUCAUUUACAGAUCAUUAAUAAGAAACAAAUAUCCCUUACAGAUCAUUAAUGAACAUUAAUGAGACCUUGAGAGAUAUUCUAUACAACUACAGGUUUGAGAGAUGAUUAUUCCUGACAUGAAUAGAUCAUAUUAAUAAUUUAAAGAUAGAACCAUAUAAUCAUAACAUAGAUCUACAAGACUUAUUGGGUCUGACGUAUAGACUAACUUAAAAGAGAUAAGUCUGGCAAUUCAUCAGACCUAUGAUACCCUGGGCUCAACUCAUGAUUGAACCCAAAUAUACUGGGUCUGACAACUUACCAGACCUAUAGUACCUUGGGCUUAGCUCAUGGUUGAUCCCAAGUAUGUUGAGUCUAGCAUCUUGCUAGACCCACGGUGCCUUAAGCUCAAUACAUGGCCGAAUCCAAGUAUAUUAUGUUUAGUAACUCGUUAGGCCCAUGGUGACUUAAGUUCAGCUCAUGGAUGAACUCAAGUAUACUAGAUUUGACAACUCACCGAACCCAUGAAGACUUGAGCUCAGCUCACAGCCAAACUCAAGUAUAUUAGGUCUGAUAAUUUACUAGACCCAUAACACCUUAGGCCCAUCUUAUGACUAAAAUCAAAUACAUCGGGGUUGAUAGAUUGUUAAACUAACAUUUAAUUAGGUUAUCAUCCUAUAAUAGAUUUGGAUUAUUUCAAAGCAUAAAAUAAUAUUGGAUAAAAAUAUAUUUACUCAUUAUAAAGCCAAGAUGAAAUUAAUAGAUUCAUCUAACUUUUGGAAAAAAAAAAGAAAAGGGAAUCCAUUAUUUUAAUUUUCUAUGUUAUUGUGAUUAAAAUUUAGUUAUUUUUUCUUCUUAAAAACACAUUUUAAAGCCACAAUCUCCCAAAACCAAUCAAAGUAUAAUUACUGUAUUUUUCAAUGCUUAGAAUAAAUCCUUCAAUUUCAUUUGACUACAAGACUCGGGUCCCACUUAAAUUGUUGAUUCUCAUGAGUCAUGACCAUGUUGAAUUUUGGUUUCAAGUAACACAAUAAAAAAAUUAAAGAAUCAUUUUAUUUCUAUUUAUAAAAUUAUCAGUUUUGGUUUGGUUUAAAAAUCAAUUUAAGUGUAGAUUCUCGAAGAAAAGAACAUUGAAUUACAUCUCAUCAAAUUGGUCAAAAAUAAGAACAAAGCAAAUUAGGAAAACCCAAGAUAUGGAAACGAAAGUGAGAGAGUUUUUUGGAAUCAAAAUAUCGUAGGGCAUGGCUUUGGUGUGAAAUAAUGGAGGGUGAGGGUGGUGCCGUGGUGGUCAAGAGUGAGGGCCCGCCAUGAUUUUUGGGCCAACCAGCAUUUCGCUGUCCCAGCCCCUAAAUUCCACCCUUGACCCUCAAAAUUCAAGGAUCUCAUUUUUUACGAGGGAAACGUCAUCGUUUCUUCGAUAUUUUCCACCGACACUUAUUUGUGCUUAGUGUACAAGUUGACCAAAAUGAAACGAAGGAAUUAACUCAAAUAUUAUUAAUAUGUUCAUCACAUGAAAUUCAUCUUUCAUAUAACCAAACCUCACAUUGUUUUUCUUUAGAGAUUUUCUUUUCCAUUUCGUAAAUAAUAAUUCCGUAAUAUAAAAAAAAAUGUUAUUUAUAGAAGAACAUAAAUAUAACUAUCAAAAUAAAUAAUAACAGUUAGUUGAUUAACAGAUUUAAAAUUUUGGGUCUCAAAAGCGUUUUAAAAAAAGAUUAAUUUUUUUUUUAUUUUUUCUUUGCUUCAAAUUAAUAUUUUUUAAUAUUUUUAGAUUAUUUUAAUGUACUAAUAUCAAAAAUAAUUUUUUUAAAAAUAAAAAAUAUAUUAUUUUGAUAUUUUUAUGAGUGAAAAACCCUUUGAAAAACAAACGCAACCAUACUUCCAAACAUGCCAGCAAGUUCCAACUAUGAGUUGGGUUUUUAUUCUUAAAUGGUUUUUUUUUUUUUUUUGCAAUUCAAACUUGAGAAAUUAAACAAAUUAAUGAAGCAUCUCAAGUGAUGAUUUAUUAUGACCUGUAUCCUUAUUAAUAUUUAUUAAAGCACGAGGCAUGUGAAGUCAUGGGGAUUUGAGGACAUAUCGGGCAAGUUUAAUCUCCUAAUCAUAACUUAAUCAACAUUGACUUCGGGUUAGGAAGGUGGGAUUUGUCUUGUGAACGUAGAAGGAAAAAAAACCCAUAAAGAAGAUUAUUCUGUCUUGUGCUUGGUGAAGGUCUUGUGGCAAUAUCAAGACCGAUCGACCAAAUUAGUUGGUUAGACCUUGAUUUUCGCACAUGGGUUUUUUUUUUUUUUGUUUUUAAGAAAUCAUGGCAUUACAAUUAAACUAAUCAAUAUCAUUAUCAAGAGGGUUAGCGAGCUAAAUAUACAUUAUUCGGUGGAGGGUCUCUUCAUGUGUUCAUCAACUAAUCACGACCUUACAUAAUCUGAUUCCACCCAUCUAUACAGUUAAAUUCAAUUUCUCAGUUAACAACUUGUUUAAGAACUAAAUCUAACACUCGAAAGAGUAGCUUAAAAGUUACUUGCCAUUCCCAACAAGCUCUCUCUUUCUCCUGUGAGAAUAAUUAUUGCUAGCAAGAAGAAUGUUGGGGAAAAAGAAAAGAAAAGUCCAGGGCCAAGUUGGAUUCUUGACAAGCAGGGAAAGGCUAAUAUCAACCUGGAGCCAGGGUGGAGGUAGAGGUCAGAUGGGAGGUUACUUUCAACUGUGUAUAGCAGUUACGGUGGCCCUUUCAAGCUCAUAUGCUCCAUAUUUUGUUGUUGUUGACGAGUCUGGUGGCCCUUCUAGAGGUCGGUUUUGAUUCUGAAACUUGCAUGGUGAAAAAUAGUGUUAAUUUCAUUUCGUGAGGGAGUCAUAGAGUAUUAUUAUAUGUUGAUGUCGCCGAGGAAAGGAAAGAAAACAAUAUUGUAUAUUGAAUUGGGUUGGGUAGAUUCUACUUAUCAAAGAGCUCACUGAAGUCUCACAGCCCAAGACUGAUAGACCCAAAUAAGAGAUUACCAACCCCUAAAACAAAAUACCAGCCCACCUAAAAUCAUUACAUUUUGAAAUAUUAAUGUCUUAUUCCUUAAAUCGAGGAUUUUAAUGUCUUUUCAAGAAAACUCUUUUUUUUUUUUUGAAAAAUUAAUGUCAUUUAUUUCUUAAGCAUUUUAAGAAUAUUUUUCUUAAUCGAGGAUUCUAAUAAAUAAAGAAAAAGAAAAGAAUUGAGGAGGUUUACAAAAAUUAAAGCAAGUACAAUAUUCUAGCCAUGCCUGAAAGGAAUUUAAAUAGACACGUACAAUCAAAGCCAUCAUCUCCAUGACUAUAAAAUAUUCUCGUGACUCCUAAUUCAUAUAUAUAAACAUCGAGUAACCUGAGUUACACAACCUACUGCAGAAAUGGAGAAAAGGCAAGUACCUUAAAGACAUGCCAAGCUUUCAUUUAUUAAAAAGAAAAUUACCAUUUGCACUUUCUUCGUCUCUAUUGCUGUGAGAUAUCUGGCCACAGACAUGAUUGCAAGAGGUUAAUGGAACUAGAGACAACAAUUAAACAUGGCGUGAAGAUCAGGGAAGACAUGGAACUAGUAGUUUAAGAAUUAUAACUGGGUGAGACAGAUGUGUGAAAAGGUUGUUGGAAGAAUGAUCGAUCAUUCAAGUAGCAGCCCAUUCUUUUCGAAUGCCAAAGGUGUAGUUGAUCUCCAAGUAGCACUUGUUAUCAUCAUCAAAAAACUGAAAGAAACAGAGAUGGUUAGGACAAAUUAAAGGGAGAUGCCAUAUUGUGAUUUUGCAUCAGAGUACUGUUUACUAGCAGAUUAUUAAAAUGAAGAUCUCUUUCUUCUUUUUGAGAUUAUAUUCAAAGAAAAACCUCAAAAAGUUUAAAACUAACCUUCGACCUUGCAGAGUAUGAUCCUCUAGCAAACAUGCCCGAGGGUGUGGUCUCCUCUGGAUUAACAUGCGUGUAAGCCUCUGGCUGAGGACUGUAGGUUCCAAGCAUUUCUUUUGUGCUGUCCACUGAGUCAACAAAGACUGAUUAUAAGGGGGGAAACGUUCAAGUGUUUGGAGCACAGGUUUUGGCACGAGUCAGGAUGUAGAUAGCUCACCCUUGACGCCAGUUUUCCAAACAGUAUUGGUGUACUUGAGGCCAGACACAAUGUUAUUACUGACUUGGAAGGAGAAUUUCAAGCUAUGGGGACUGCCUUCUUUCAAUGUAAACCACAAGCCUUUGGGCUUCCCAUUCUCAGGAAUAGAAAGUACGAUGUCUGGUCUUCCAGGAGAGAGGAUCGAAAGAUUAAGAAAUUUCACAUCUGGUUCAAGCGUUUCUGCAAUAAUGAAAAGAAAAACAAGAUUAUUUAGAGGAUUAAAUAAAAAAAGAAAAGGAAAAGAAUUCUGUUCAAAAUUCUUCAUUAUCUUUGUUGGAACAUGAGCAACUCUAGCUAACAGAAUAUGGCACAAGAAUUCGAUCGGCAUACGCACAAGGAAAGGGAUUCAAAAUUCUCUGCAUGAACAUGUAACAUUAAUUAUAGAAAUGAAAGAAUUAACAGAAACCAAGAUAUAUUUAAAGAAUUUCAGAAGUUAGAAUCCAACAAACUCGCAUAAUUUUAGAUAAGGAAAAAGAAAAUAUGACGACAUGCAUGCACCUCCAAUGUUGUUCAAAUCCACACUCCCAAGAAGCUGCUCCUUCCAUUUCCUCAAGCUCUCAUCAUCCUGAACUUCCAAAAUCCAUGCACCAAUAUAUGAAAAAUGAAUUAACAAAUGCAUUUUCAUAACUAAAAAUGGAACAUGAAAUAAUAACAACAACAAAAGAACAAACCUUGUCUUUUUCAAGCUGUUCUUUGAGGGUGUACUGAGGACCCAGCUGAAGUUUGUUGGUUCCGUUCUCGUCAUCUUCCUCUUCGUGAUCAGUCGCAUACAUAGAGGUCUCACUCUCACUCAUCUGCCUUCCUAUCCUCACUCCACCAUCAUGAUCCUCGUCACGUGUUUCCAGAACUCCACUUUUCUCUCCUCCUUCCUUCUUCUUCUUCUUCUUGUCGUCAUCAAACCCCAUAUUUCUCAAACUUGAUGUAGCUCCAAUAGCCAAAGACAUCAACUUUAAGAUCUAUAACAAUGCACUACAAAUUUAUAAACUUUGAACCCAAAAAAGAAGAAGAAACGACGAUAGAAAGAUUACUGGUAAGAAUUUGUUAUAUCGAAGGAAGAAAGAAAAAAGACUGAAGAGAAUCCAAAAUGGGAGCAAAGUUAAUUUAUCACUUGACUUUUGCCGCGUCGAAGAAAAAGAGGCAAGAAAAGGCCAAAAGAUAUUUUUGUGCAGACUCCACCUAACGAGAGACAAAUAAAAGACCCACAAUCCACAAACAAAAGCUCAGCAAAGACAAAAAGAAAAAGAAAAGGAAUAACUAGGUUUGUCUUGUCUCCUGGCUUUUCUUGUCCUUCUUUUUUCUUUCGGUUCGGGUGGAUUGUUGUUGAAUCUCAAAACAAUUUGAGAUAGCUCGAGAGAGAGAGAGAGGCAAAAAAGAUUGGGAAUUCGAUUUGAGGUAGCUGAGAAAAGGUCAUGGGGUGAUCCGAAAUAUCAGAAAGAAGGUGAAAGUCACUAUAUUCUGUAAAGGGACAUGGUAGGUCGACGGAUUUUAAUGAAGCACAGUCUCAGCCUAGGAUUGAGGGUGAUCUUAACUGUCACUUUUGACUCUUUCUUUAAAUAUCUAUGCAAAUAAUCUAACAAGAAAAGAAAAACUUACUAGCAGUCAAUGGACCGUGAUUGGUGUCUUCUAGUUGUUUUCGUUAAUUAAUGAUGCCAUGCAUGCAUUUAUUAACUUCCAAUCCUCUUUUUUUUUUUUUUUCAAUGAUUCAAGAAAUUCUCAUGUCACUUUUACAUAUCAAAAUUAAGUUAAUCUUUCUAGUACAAUUAAAAAAAAACUCAUGACCUUCUCUCGCAUAGACUACCACAAAAUCAUAGUUAUCAAAUCCGGUUUGAGGUUGACACAACCAAGAAGCUGGGUCCCGGGUCACAAGGGUUGACCAGGGUCAACCUGAAAAUUUUUUUAAAAAAAAUUUAAGAUUUUAAUAUUUCAUAUGAAGAAAUUAAGAAACAAUCCAUGUGGAUAUAUACUAAAAAAUUAUUUCAAAAGGUUUUUUAUCCCACAUUAAAAAAAUAUUAUCUUAUCCUUUUAAGUUGAAAUAUUUAAAUCAAAAUUUUUUUUUAUUUCACGUUAAAAAAACACAAUGUUUUUCUUGUGAACAUAAAGUAAAUAUAUUAAUGGACUUCAAAUUUCACAUUGAAAAAAUAAAACUUCUUCUAGUAUUUAUAUAGUGAACUUUGAUAUGAGUUAGUAAACCCGGCCAGGCCCUGGGUUAUCCGGGUCCCGGGUCAACCUACCGGGCUAGGCCGGGUCUGAUAACUAUGCACAAAACAACAAACAAAUACAACAACAACAAAAAAACAAGCAUUGAAAAUCAAAAUAGAUUCAAGGGAAAAUUUACAUUUGUGGUCGAAACGCCACCAUUUUCUCUCUAAAUAAUCUUUCCUAUAAGUUUCUCUCUCUCCCUUCUUGCACUUUAUCUCUCUGCUCCUUUCUCUCUCCUCUCUUGCAUCAUAUGACCUUUCUCUGUCCUCACACCUCGGGGAGGAAUAUGAUUAGUGAUUGUGAGAUCUCUCUCGCCUAUCUACCUUCUUUUCUCUUUUUUAAGAUCUUUCGCGCUUAGUAUCAUCGUGCCUAGAUGAUUUAUGAUGGUUACGAUGGUGAGAUUCUUUGUCCAAUUGGUUUUUGUGGUGGUCACAAGUGAGUUUGAAGGAGCAAUCUAUUGUAAUCAAGGGUUUUAAAUUGUUAAUACUCUCUUAUCUCAUUCACUCUAUUUCUCAAUUUACAAAAAAGAAGACAAUGCAAAGAACUAAAAGAUUUUGUUACUCUCUUAAUCCCACUCACUUUAUUUCUCGAUUAGUAAAAAAGGUAAGCAAAAAUGGUGCAAGAAUUGAAGAGCAACUUCAG
RNAcentral lists this long non-coding RNA (24805 nucleotides) under Populus trichocarpa (black cottonwood). RNAcentral describes it as "long non-coding RNA (PTRI_LNC003352)". The record is from RNAcentral. Lineage: Eukaryota; Viridiplantae; Streptophyta; Magnoliopsida; Malpighiales; Salicaceae.